RNAcentral lists this ribosomal RNA (361 nucleotides) under Dehalococcoidia bacterium. RNAcentral's name for it is "bacterial SSU rRNA". It matches the Rfam family "Bacterial small subunit ribosomal RNA", at positions 1 to 363 of the family's 1533-position model. Lineage: Bacteria; Bacillati; Chloroflexota; Dehalococcoidia. The record is from RNAcentral.
ACUUAGAGUUUGAUCCUGGCUCAGGACGAACGCUGGCGGUGCGCUUAAUGCAUGCAAGUCGAACGAGAACGGCGGCUUCGGUCGCUAAGUAAAGUGGCAGACGGCUGAGUAACACGUAAGUAACCAACCCCGGAGCGGGGAAUAAUCAUGAGAAAUCGUGCCUAAUACCCCGUACGUCCCAACAGGCGUUGCCGUUGGGGGAAAGGCUUCGGUCGCUCUGGGACGGGCUUGCGGCCUAUCAGGUAGUUGGUGGGGUAAAGGCCCACCAAGCCGUAGACGGGUACCCGGUGUGAGAGCACGAACGGGCAGAGGGGGACUGAGACACGGCCCCCACUCCUACGGGAGGCAGCAGCAGGGAAUC